CAACAUAUAUUAUUUAGCACUCAAACAAGCCAAUCUAGAGGGAAGUUGUUUACAUAAGUGAUAUGAAGCGGUUCAGCACGAACUUUUCGUGCCAAAGUAUCCGCCUUGACAUUUGCAUUACGAAAAAUUAAAGAUAAAGAAAAAGAAGUGAACUCUUCCUUGUCGCUCUGAAACUCCUCCAAAUAUGCUGAAAAUGCUGGUCAUUCGGUUGGAGAAGACACCAUCUUCACCAGGUCUGAACAGUCUGUUAAAAAAACUACUUUUUGGUUGUCGGCACCAAUCAUACACUUCAUUGCCCAGAGUAAAGCUUCGACUUCGGUAU
RNAcentral lists this small RNA (322 nucleotides) under Arabidopsis thaliana (thale cress). RNAcentral's name for it is "ATSL095300". Lineage: Eukaryota; Viridiplantae; Streptophyta; Magnoliopsida; Brassicales; Brassicaceae. The record is from RNAcentral.